GAUGAACGCUGGCGGCGUGCUUAACACAUGCAAGUCGAGCGAACGGGCGAGAAUCUUGCUGCUCGCAUGUUAGGAGCGGGCGGGUGAGUCACAUGAGGAUACCCUACCUAUAAGAAUGGGAUAACGAAGGGAAACCGGAUCUCACACCCGAUAAGAUUUUGAACCCCGGGGUUCGAAAGUGAAAGACGGACUUGCUGUCACGAAUAGAUGGAUCCGCGCUGGAUUAGCUAGUUGUUACGGUAACGGCUUACCAAGGCAACGAUGCAUAGCCGACCUGAGAGGGUGAUCGGCCACACUGGGACUGAGACACGGCCCAGACUACUACGGGAGGCAGCAGUAGGGAAUUUUCGGCAAUGGGGGAAAGCCUGACGCAGCAACGCCGCGUGAGGGAUGAAGGUCUUCGGGUCGUAAAACUCUGUUAUUCGGGAAGAACACAUGUGUGAGUAACUGUGGAGAGCAUGACGGUACCUGAUCAAAAAGCAACGGCUAACUACGUG
RNAcentral lists this ribosomal RNA (497 nucleotides) under uncultured bacterium. Its description in RNAcentral is "partial 16S ribosomal RNA". It matches the Rfam family "Bacterial small subunit ribosomal RNA", at positions 28 to 507 of the family's 1533-position model. The record is from RNAcentral.